AAACAAACAUUCAUAGAUCAAGUUCCAGUAUUAAAUGCUGAAUAUAAAAGAAAAACAAACAUGGCAAUAACUGUCUCUAAAUUGGGUUUGGGUCUGGUAAUCGUGAAAUAUAAAAGAUCUGGACUGUCACUGAUGGAGGUAUUUCCUUUAUCUCUCCAGAUCACAACUUCUCCAUCCUGUAGCAGACAGUUUUAUGAAGAGUACCCUCAAAACCAGUUAUCACCUGCUGGCUGAGCAGCUGAUGGUGAACCAUUGUGAAUUUGGAUAGGAACACAUGAGUUUUCUUCUUCUUGUACAUCUGCCAUCUUAUCACAAUGCAUCCAGGCUUCCAUACACCUGCAGACUGCAGAGAAAGGCACUGCCUAGAAAGUGUCUAGUGGCAAGGCAAAAAUCAGGAAGACUGGCAAUGAAUGACUUAAGAUGCAUUGGGUGUCCUUGGCAUCUUUGAUGUCUGACCAAGAUCUGAGUACUCCACAGUGCCUACUUCAGCAGCCCUCAUGGUCACUAGAACAAAAUUGUUCUGGUCUGUUCCACCAAGAAAAAUCUCCACAUGCUUUGAUUUGAUCAGCAAGCUAUCUGUGCCUUUAUCUGAGUCAUUACUAAAAAUGUUCAACAGCAGUGGGGUGAGGACAGAUCCCCAGAAGCACUCCACUGGAGGUCUCCUUCCAAGUUGACAUCAAUGCUAUCUAUGGCUAACAAUGUUGUUAUCUGUGGUGAAAACAGGAUCUGAAUUUGAUCCACUGAGUUUUCCACACUAAAUAAUGUUAAUUCCACAAGUGUGACCCAUUUUUGCACAAUAGGCUACUUUCUGAAAUUGUUGCUUAUGAACAGAAACCUUACAUAAACCCAAUUUUUUAAAUGUACUUACUAUAGAAAAUUAUACUAUAAAGAAAUCUUUUUUGUGAAUCUAGGGCAAUCAGGGAAGGCUUCAUUUGAAGAGGUG
This 943-nucleotide long non-coding RNA is filed under the name Monodelphis domestica (gray short-tailed opossum). Its description in RNAcentral is "lncRNA (ENSMODG00000043877.1)". The record is from RNAcentral. Lineage: Eukaryota; Metazoa; Chordata; Mammalia; Didelphimorphia; Didelphidae.